RNAcentral lists this long non-coding RNA (1482 nucleotides) under Cricetulus griseus (Chinese hamster). RNAcentral's name for it is "lncRNA (ENSCGRG00015037016.1)". Lineage: Eukaryota; Metazoa; Chordata; Mammalia; Rodentia; Cricetidae. The record is from RNAcentral.
CCUAGCUGGGGUGGCCCUUGGGAGGACACCAGAGAGGCUCCUGAGGGGUGGUGGGGAAGGUCCUUGCCGCCUUGGGGCCUUUCAUCUGUUCCCUCCUCAGAAGUUGAAUGAGUGAAUGAAUGAGUGAGUGAGUGAGUGAGUGAGUGAGUGGGGACAGGCUUCAACACAAGCACUCCAUCUGCUUCCGGGGGAGAGGAAAGGUGGAGGACUUCAUGUACCAAGAUGGCUGCUACUCCAGGGUAGCACCCAGAGCUCCUAAAUCCUGACUCCAUCUGUUGCAGGCUGGGUGACCUUGGUGGGUGGCACUGUGGCACCAGAAGUGUCUCCCAGGCAGGUCCCCAGGCCUUCCAGCGGUGACCUGCUGGCCCCCUGCUGUCUCCUGCUGCUAUAACCUGCUGCUGUUUGGACCUUUACCUACAAGUGGCAGAUUUCGUGGAGGCCUGGCUCUGGACCCGCUGCAUCUGUAACACGGUGGAGAGAGCACAGGCUGCUGCUGUGCUCCUGGGUGCAGUGAGGUCCUCCUGCCAGGCUGGGCUGGAAGAGGAGUGAGGCCGAUGAGCUACACCAGUGAGGAGCUCUGGGAUGCCGCAGGGAUCUGGGCACACACGGGUCCUCUGCUGUGUGAAGAGCAGAUAGGAACAACCUGUCACAUGUAAUGCUUGCUUCUCCAGGACCUUGCUGUACCAGCCCCAGGGGGCCAAGGGGUGAGGGGGCCAUGGGGCCGUGGGGUCAGGGGGCCAGGAGCCCAGGGCAGCAGGAGGCUGGGCCUACAGCCUAGACAGAGGCUCCUUCCUUUCCUAUCUGUCCCUGACAGGCGGCCUGGCCCCCUGUGCAGCUGUAGAGGACACUCCUCCUGACACUGCUGAGAUCCCCAGGUCAGAGUGAGGAUGGAGCUGGGACUUGCCACAGAGUUACCUGCACCUUCAAGAGGCAGGGGGCUUGUUUCCUUUCAGUGUUUUUAUCCCUAGAAUUCACCCCUAGCAGUAGUGUCUUCACCUUCCAUGAGGUCUUUCCCUCCUGUCUUUCCAUCUUCCAUCCCUCCCCUUAUCCACCAACUCCCUCAUCUCUCAUAGGGUCUCAAGCAGCUCAGGGUGGCCUCAGGCUCUCUAUGAUCUUGAACUUCUGACCCUAUGACCUUGAACUUCUGACCCUCCGGUCUCUCCCUCUUAGUGCUGGAAUCACAGGUACCUGCCACAAUGCCCAGACAAUGAUUCUUGGCUGCUUUUUAAAGUUUUUUUUUUUAACUUAGCAUGUAUGAAUUUACAUAAUGGAUUUCACUAUGGCAUUUUUAUAAAUGUAUGGAAUAUAUUUUGAUCAUAUCACCCCAUCAUCCUCUUUUGUCCUUCUCUGAGCCUUUCCUCUUCCCAACUAGUCUCCGACUUUUAUGUGUUUGCAUAUGUGCAAUGGGUUAACCUAGAGUUGCUUAUAGUCAUGUUCCUAAAAAGAAGGCCUGGUGGGGUACUUCAGUGGCAGAGUGAUUAC